Molecule: long non-coding RNA, 722 nt
Organism: Zingiber officinale
Lineage: Eukaryota; Viridiplantae; Streptophyta; Magnoliopsida; Zingiberales; Zingiberaceae
Exons: 2
Source: RefSeq, a predicted model, not a curated record
ACGCGAUGGCGAUACAAUCUUCCUUCCCCCUCCAAAUUGUGAGAGCAUCAGCAUUAGCCUGACUACCUCCCCUCUUCCGAGAAGCUGGAAAAAGUUCAGCUCCAACUCUCGGUGAUACUGUGAGAGGGCCUCCUACAUGCUUUCGGGCUCAGCCCUAUCCCUGCAUCAAUAGGCGCUCCUUUUGAAAAUUAAAGGUGGCUAAUGAUUGAUUCCAUUACUUUUAAUCUUGCUUAGAACAUCACCGUGAGUUGUAUACGUACAUACCUGAAGGUAAGGUGUACGUCAUUUUACAAUUCAAUCAGAUAUAUAUGUUCCUUGUUGUCUUAUAAAAUCAGAUAUUAGAUAUAGAUUAUAAAACAAACCAACUUGAAGGUCUCGAAGAGGUCAUCGCACGCCUCAACGUGGCAUUAGAGAAGAAGAAAAAGGAGAUUGCAGAGUUCGAGUUGAAGUAUAAUAUUAAGAUAAGAAAGGCAGAUAGUGAGACCAAGGAGGAUACUAGCCAGAAAGAAGGCUCCGCACAGGGGGUUCUUGUAGGUCCUGCAAGCUGAGUAGAAGGAAGAGCUGGGAAGAAAUAAGUUAACGAUCAGGUUAUGCAGGUGCUAUAAUGCUAGUGGUGUUUAGUAUUGGCAUGCAGGUCUUCUCUGUUUUAGUUGUCUGAUCAGUAAAGAACUAGAAACCAAUGGGAUUCUUGAGCUGUGGAAGUAGAAUUCUUCUCUGUUUUA